GUCCAGACUCCUACGGGAGGCAGCAGUGGGGGAUAUUGCACAAUGGGGGAAACCCUGAUGCAGCAACGCCGCGUGAGUGAAGAAGGUCUUCGGAUUGUAAAGCUCUGUUCUUGGUGAAGAUAAUGACGGUAGCCAAGGAGAAAGCUCCGGCUAACUACGUGCCAGCAGCCGCGGUAAUACGUAGGGAGCGAGCGUUAUCCGGAUUUAUUGGGUUUAAAGGGUGCGUAGGCGGUCCGGAAAGUCAGCGGUAAAAGCCCGGGGGCCCAACCCGGCCGGGCCGUUGAAACUGUCGGACUAGAGACGGCGAGAAGUACGCGGAAUGCGCGGUGUAGCGGUGAAAUGCAUAGAUAUCGCGCAGAACUCCGAUUGCGAAGGCAGCGUACCGGCGCCGGACUGACGCUGAGGCACGAAAGCGUGGGUAUCGAACAGGAUUAGAUACCCGUGUA
Molecule: ribosomal RNA, 446 nt
Filed under: uncultured bacterium
Lineage: Bacteria
Description: partial 16S ribosomal RNA
Rfam family: Bacterial small subunit ribosomal RNA
Source: RNAcentral